This 335-nucleotide unclassified non-coding RNA is filed under the name uncultured Russula. RNAcentral describes it as "sequence contains ITS2". Lineage: Eukaryota; Fungi; Basidiomycota; Agaricomycetes; Russulales; Russulaceae. The record is from RNAcentral.
AACGCACCUUGCGCCCCUUGGCAUUCCGAGGGGCACACCCGUUUGAGUGUCGUGAAAUUCUCAAAACCCUUUUCUUUCGAAGAGGAUUUUGGACUUGGAGGCUUUUUGCUGGUUUCGCACAGAAGCGAGCUCCUCCUAAAUGGAUUAGUGGGGUCUGCUUUGCCGAUCCUUGACGUGAUAAGAUGUUUCUACGUCUUGGGUUUGGCACCGCACCCGCUUCUAACCGUCUCAUCGACAAUGAUGGCGUUCCGGUCACCACCGUUUCAUCGGUGGGAGGCUUGACCCACCAAAAAAACCUUGACCUCAAAUCGGGUGAGACUACCCGCUGAACUUAA